RNAcentral lists this ribosomal RNA (793 nucleotides) under uncultured Ascomycota. RNAcentral's name for it is "eukaryotic LSU rRNA". The stretch from base 440 to 593 matches the Rfam family "5.8S ribosomal RNA". The record is from RNAcentral. Lineage: Eukaryota; Fungi; Ascomycota.
GUAAAAGUCGUAACAAGGUUAAAUAUCGAUGUAGGUAAACCACCUCCGAAGCCUUGAACUCCAGUCUAUUCUUAAUAGGCUACACCGGUCUGUUGCUAGGCUUAACAUUCAUAUUAGUUAAAUGUUUUACUAGCAGUCGUUGAUACGAUUCACAGGUCAAACACCGGUGGUGAGCAAAUUUCGCGAAUUUAGAUAUGAUCGGUCAGUCUUUGUUAAGAAGUUUGAUAAACGUUCCGUAGGUGAACCUGCGGAAGGAUCAUUAAUGAGUUAGGGUCUUCUAGGCCCGAUCUCCAACCCUUUGUAUAACUACCAUGUUGCUUUGGCGGGCCCGUCUUUAACCGGACCGCCGGGGGUCUUUUGACCUCUGGCCAGUGCUCGUCAGUAGCCUACACAAAACUCUUUUAACCAUGUUAAAUCUGAAACUAGUUAAAUAAACUAAAACUUUCAACAACGGAUCUCUUGGUUCUGGCAUCGAUGAAGAACGCAGCGAAAUGCGAUAAGUAAUGCGAAUUGCAGAAUUCAGUGAGUCAUCGAAUCUUUGAACGCACAUUGCGCCCUUUAGUAUUCUGAAGGGCAUGCCUGUUCGAGCGUCAUUAUCACUAAUCAAGCCCGGCUUGCUGUUGGACCUCUUGUCGUUAAAAGACAGGUCCUAAAGAUAAUGACGGCGUCAGUUGGACCCUAGAUGCAACGAGCUUUAACUAGCACGCAUUUUAGUUGGCCCUUUUGACCCGGUCUUUUUAUAACCAUUUUCUAAGGUUGACCUCGGAUCAGGUAGGAAUACCCGCUGAACUUA